Myotis lucifugus (little brown bat) is the source of this 83-nucleotide non-coding RNA. NCBI's taxonomy places the organism in Eukaryota, Metazoa, Chordata, Mammalia, Chiroptera, Vespertilionidae. The record is from Rfam.
AGGCCUUCAGAGAGAGAUGCAGGGUCUGAUCUGCAGCCUCCGUCACAGCUGUUGAUCAGCCGUUGCCUCUCUCUUUCUGUCCU